This 1191-nucleotide unclassified non-coding RNA is filed under the name Exaiptasia diaphana. Its description in RNAcentral is "ornithine decarboxylase, transcript variant X1". Lineage: Eukaryota; Metazoa; Cnidaria; Anthozoa; Actiniaria; Aiptasiidae. The record is from RNAcentral.
GUCAUUGUAACUUUUAGCAAUCAAGUGUAAUCCCGAUCCAGUCCUUGUACGCCAAUUGAAGCUGUUGGGAACUGGGUUUGACUGUGCUAGCAAAGGUGAAAUAGAGUUUGCACUUAGUAUUGGAUGCAAACCAAACGACAUCAUAUAUGCNAACCCCUGCAAAAAGCCUUCUCAUCUCAGGUUCGCAGCAAAACAUGGUAUUUCAAUGAUGACAUUUGACAGCAAAGAAGAGCUGAUGAAGAUCAAAGACAUUUGUCCCAGCAGUGCAGAGAUUCUGAUUCGCUUUACUCCAAGAAUUGAUGGUGCCUUGUACAAUCUUAGCUUUAAAUUUGGGGCUGCAAUUGAAGAUUGNGCAGAUAUUCUAACCACGGCCAAGAAUCUGGGACUAAAUGUUGUUGGUGUAAGGUACGUAGUCACUGCAUUUAAAAUCCCAUGGACCUACUUCAUAGGAAGCUAUACACGACUUUCAAAAAUGGCGCCAGUUCACGUCCGCCUAUAUUGGGGACUAGUGACGAAUCAUGGAAACGAGANCUCAAAGGCCUUCCAUCAAGAAAUCACUACGAAGAUCGUAUGUAGGCAGUGUCCAAAAGUUUGAAAGAUGUAUUGGUAUGUUAUUUACAACAAAACACUCUUGCAAGACACCAUGGAAGCUGGCCUUUGAGACCUCGUUUUAGUGCUUCGUCCCCCUGAUCGACGACCGUGACACAUCGCGCCACUUUUGAAAGUCGUGAAUGCUGUCUUGAAAUGCAGGUAACAUGCUUUUGCAUUGAAGCCAGUCAACCGUCGAGCGCGCAAUGACAGACACGCCGAAUACUUGUCUAUGCGUGUGAACAAACGCUCUAUCGUUGUACACUCACCGACCGUUUUGCUUCGAAGGCACGGUUACUAUACCCUUCAUCACCUUUAGGAGAGAGAGCAAGACAGUCGUUGACCUUAAUUCGAUAAAAAAUGAAUUCUUACUAGAUAGGCAUGCUCGAUAGAAAGUGCAGAUGGUUUGACACACUGCAUUUGGCGAUCCGUGUUAUAAAAUAGGCAUGCGGCGUGGUAGACAGUAGACGAUGUCAUAACCUGCCUAACCGGGUCAGCGGAUUGACGUAAGAUAAAAGUCAUGUCAUCCUAAAACUAGUAAGAGGGUCUCAAUGGGGUUAACCGUGAGCCGUGAAACGGCUAAAAAAUUAGCCGUGAAUCGUA